This 495-nucleotide ribosomal RNA is filed under the name uncultured bacterium. RNAcentral's name for it is "partial 16S ribosomal RNA". It matches the Rfam family "Bacterial small subunit ribosomal RNA", at positions 28 to 507 of the family's 1533-position model. The record is from RNAcentral.
GACGAACGCUGGCGGCGUGCCUAAUACAUGCAAGUAGAACGCUGAAGGAGGAUCUUGCUUCUCUGGAUGAGUUGCGAACGGGUGAGUAACGCGUAGGUAACCUGCCUGGUAGCGGGGGAUAACUAUUGGAAACGAUAGCUAAUACCGCAUAAGAGUAGAUGUUGCAUGACAUUUGCUUAAAAGGUGCAAUUGCAUCACUACCAGAUGGACCUGCGUUGUAUUAGCUAGUUGGUGGGGUAACGGCUCACCAAGGCGACGAUACAUAGCCGACCUGAGAGGGUGAUCGGCCACACUGGGACUGAGACACGGCCCAGACUCCUACGGGAGGCAGCAGUAGGGAAGCUUCGGCAAUGGACGGAAGUCUGACCGAGCAACGCCGCGUGAGUGAAGAAGGUUUUCGGAUCGUAAAGCUCUGUUGUAAGAGAAGAACGAGUGUGAGAGUGGAAAGUUCACACUGUGACGGUAUCUUACCAGAAAGAGACGGCUAACUACGUG